This 253-nucleotide unclassified non-coding RNA is filed under the name uncultured Myxococcales bacterium. RNAcentral's name for it is "contains 16S-23S intergenic spacer region". It matches the Rfam family "Bacterial small subunit ribosomal RNA", at positions 524 to 776 of the family's 1533-position model. Lineage: Bacteria; Pseudomonadati; Myxococcota; Myxococcia; Myxococcales. The record is from RNAcentral.
UACGGAGGGUGCAAACGUUGCUCGGAAUCAUUGGGCGUAAAGCGCACGUAGGCGGCCGGGAAAGUUGGAUGUGAAAGCCCUGGGCUCAACCCAGGAUGUGCAUUCAAAACUCCCCGGCUUGAGUUCCGGAGGGGCCCAGAGAAUUCCCGGUGUAGAGGUGAAAUUCGUAGAUAUCGGGAGGAAUACCAGUGGCGAAGGCGCUGGGCUGGACGGGUACUGACGCUGAGGUGCGAAAGCGUGGGGAGCAAACAGG